Molecule: long non-coding RNA, 628 nt
Organism: Vicia villosa (hairy vetch)
Lineage: Eukaryota; Viridiplantae; Streptophyta; Magnoliopsida; Fabales; Fabaceae
Exons: 4
Source: RefSeq, a predicted model, not a curated record
AGGUCGAAAUUUUCAAUGAAUUCCCCGCUGACAAGACCAUAACAGUGAACAGAUGUGGACCCCUAAUUGAUUUAUGUCGAGGACCACAUAUUCCUAAUACAUCCUUUGUCAAAGCAAUUGCAUGUUUGAAGGCUUCGUCAGCAUAUUGGAAGGGAGACUAAGAUUGAGAAAGUUUACAAAGAGUUUAUGGCAUAUCUUAUCCUAAUCAGAAGAGUUUAAAGGAAUAUUUGCAUCGCCUUGAAGAGGCUAAAAAGUACGAUCACAAUAUUUUGAGGGUGAAACAAGAGCUUAUUCUUCAUCACGAGCGGAGGUAUAGUGGGUUCAUUCUUUCUUAUUUCAUAAUUUAGUAGGGUUUUCUUACUGCUGUCUCUAGGCCUGUCCUGUUUAUGUUAGCCCGGGAAGCUGGUUUUUUCUUCCACACGGUACUCGUGUCUACAUCAAACUCAUGAACUUCAUUCAAAAUCAGUACAGAGAUAGGGGUUAUCAAGAGGUUAUAUCACCGAAUAUGUAUAACAUGGAGCUGUGGAAGGAAUAUGGUCAUGCAGAAAAGUAUAAAGAUGAUAUGUUUGUUUUGGAGGUAUAGAUUAUUUCUGUUUGCAUGUAUUUUUCUAAAAGAGUUAGUCUUGGG